Molecule: long non-coding RNA, 920 nt
Organism: Gopherus flavomarginatus (Mexican gopher tortoise)
Lineage: Eukaryota; Metazoa; Chordata; Testudines; Testudinidae
Exons: 3
Source: RefSeq, a predicted model, not a curated record
CGUCUGACUGUGAAGUGGGGGUGCAGGACCUUGUGGCUUCCCCAGGACUUUGCUGGGGCUGAUUCGCUGUGGGAAGCACAGGGGCAGAGGAUGCUGAAUGCUCCAAGGAGAGACCCAGGAGGUGAAGACGCGUGAGCUUCUUGCCCUGAAAAAGUCUGUUCCAAGGGAGAGGAGGCUCCCCAAAGUCCUGAUUGGCUUUGUGGGGAGCAGUUCCAGAGCAUUGCCUGGGGACUCCAUGACACCCGCAUUCCACAGAAGGGAGCGGUUUGAUAACUGCCUGGACACAGACGGUGCAGAGUGGCCGGGUGCAGUUCCUCAGAGCUCUCAGGUGGGCGGGAGUGGGAGCGAAAUCCCUUGGCCUGUUACACAGCUCGGUUCUGUCCCUCCCUCUCGCUCAGUUCCAGGGAACUCGGCAGGUGGCUCAGCAGGUGACCCGGCCAUGAAGGGAAUCCAGAUCCGCACUCAGCCUGUGAGUGACGCACGUUCUGCCCCCUUCACACCAAGGAUUUCACGGCCUCUCAUGGACACGUCCUGAGCGAAUGGGACCCUGCUCACCCCUUCUGCACCCUCAGCAGAUGCCCAGGGGAAGGGGCUCUGGUACAGUCCAGGCCCUGGGGGCUACUCUGUCCCAUGGACCCGUGGUGUCUCCCGGGUCAUGGGAGAGGAAGGCUCCGAGUCUCAGGCCAGGCCCUGCUUGAUUUGACAGGGGGACUCAGGCAGUGCAGCUGAGCCCUUCUCCUGGCCCCUUGGUGGAAUGGCUCCAGUGCGGCUCGACUCCCUUCGAUCCCCUUACACCUGAUCUCACCCCCCUGAACCCGGCCCACGGGCGCUAAGUGACUCCGCUGCCUGCUGUGGUGCUGGCUGAUGGAGCAGGAGCAGGAUGUCUGUACAGCGCCUGGCACAACCCUGAUCUCAGUAGG